AUAAAGAUAGUAUUCCUGUUGAGAAGAAAUGCCCCACUGGCUGCCUGCAAAUACCAGUUUUACAAGGAGGCUCUUGAUUGAGACAUCAGCAGGAUGAAACUCUUUCUCCCUGACUUCUGCAUAAUGUUCAGAUCGAAUAUAUGGAAGAAGGAGACCAGGCACCUAACCACCCACAGAUUGUAGCUUUGGAUAGCAGGCAUGGGGAAUCAAGUGGAAAAACUGACCCACUUAAACUACAAAGAGGUUCCCACAACUGACCCAACAGGCAUGGACAGAGAUGAGGGUCCCAGGAUUGGAGUUUCUUACAUAUUUUCCAAUGAUGAUGAUGAUGUAGAGCCUCAGCAGGACUCAACAGUGUCAGAUCUUGGUGGGGAUCGUCCUGCAUCACAACCGUACGACCCUCAGCUUCACGAAGUGGAAUGCUCUAUCUAUUAUCGUGAUGAGUGCAUUUAUCAGAAGAGCUUUUCUGGAGACCACACAUUGUCUGGUGAGGUAGAUGGAGGCGGAGGGGGCCAUUUAACCACCUACACACCAGAAAACCUAUUGAACAGGUGCAAACCUGGUGAUCUGAUAGAAUUUGUGUGCCAGGCCCAGUACCCUCACUGGGUGGUAUAUGUUGGGGACUUCCAGGUGGUGCAUUUGCAUAGACUGGAAGUGGUGAACGGUUUUCUCACAGAUGCCAGCCAGGGCAGACGGGGGCGCAUUGCGAACCAGUUGUAUCGCUACAAACCACUAAAUCCUGCCACAGUAGUGCGAAAUGCCCUGGAUCAAGUGGGUCGCAAAGACCGGGAUCUCAAUUGGAGGAACUCUGAAUGUUUUGCAGCUUGGUGCCGCUAUGGCAAGCGUGAGUUCAAAAUUGGGGGCGAGCUGCGUAUAGGCAAGCAACCCUAUCGGUUGCAGAUCCAGCUGGGAGAUAAACGCAGCCACACUCUUGAGUUCCAGAGCCUGGAGGAUCUCAUUAUGGAAAAAAGAAGAAAUGAUCAAAUAGGGAAGGUGGCUGUCAUCCAAGAACUGUCCAGCCAUCUUCAGGCCGCCGAGGCAGACAAUGAAGAGGAUGCUAACGGCAAACCAGGUGCCUGGACCAGUGCUGAGUAGCAGUCCUUGCACAGUCAGGCUGCUUAACCUUGGUGACGGAUUAAAACUGAAUCCUGCGAAAUUGAGCUGUUAUAAGCCCUUUGGGCUGUUUCAGUGCAGCUUCACUCCAAUCCCAUGUGAAGGAAAGGGAGAAAGCUGAUUAAGCACCAGUCCUUCAGCACUUAACUCCUUCAGUGCUUGGUUGAACCAGCAAGUUUAUUUGUUGAGGGUUAAAUCUCAGGAAGAUCUUCCUAACUCGCUGUUUAUACAUGUCUCUCUUCCCAAAUUGCAUCCCUCUUCCUCCCACUUAGCUUCUGCUGUUUUAAAUUGGAUGGGGUCCAGCAUCAAUGAACUACAUGAUUCGAUGUUGGAGCAAAGACAUUUCCCCUUUAUUCUUUUUUUUUUCUUCUUUAUUUCCUACUUUGGCAUUUCUGGAAUCUCUCCCUUUCAUUUUACUGGUUAUGGCCUUCCAUUCUUCCUGUCCUCAAUAUCUCUGUGAGGAUUGAAUGGUUAAAUUAUUGUUAAUUUUGGGUCACGGGGUUGGCCUGUUUGUGCUGAAAGAUUUGGCAGAGUUGUAAAGGAGAAAUAGCGUUUCCUGUCUGUGGCUGAAGCACCUUUUCUGGGUUGUAUGGAGAGAUUUAAAAUAUUUUCACAGAAGUGAGAUUACAAAGUACAUAAUGGAAUAAGGGCUGCAGCUUUUCAAAACACUACCAAGAAACUCUUUCCUUUAAUUACAGUGGAGUUGGGUUAAGCCAUGGCCAUCAAGACUCUGUGUAAGUCAUUGACGUUUAGUGGGAGGGCAGCUAAACCCUCUUAGCACCAGUGGUUACAGCAGGAUUAAUUUGCUACAAAUCCAAGUACUGUUUGGGCACAUUAUGUAUUGUUGGAAAAGGUGACACAAGAGACAGGCAACUUUUUUUAAAAAGGCAUUUUAUUCCUAGGCAGUGAAGCUGGUUGUCUCGCCAUUACUGUUAAAUAUCUGAGGACAGGCUGUUAGUGCAUCUGGAAGAAACGUCUUCUUUUCAAUCUGUUUUUUAACUUCUUUAUGUAUAAAAUCAUUGAUUUCAUUUUUUCAGUACAUUUUUUUUUGUUUUAUUCAGUGGCUAAGGGCACCAAAGUGGGUCCUCUCCAUAAAGAAUAGGAAAAGAGGAGCAAGAUAGUAUGUAGUGCCCAUUUUUAAGUUAGCAAUGUUCUGUCUUCAGCCUCUCCAAGUUGAUUUCUGUCAAUGCCUUUUUUUCUGGCGUACUUCUGCUUCUCUAGGCAUAUUGUUACAGAAGGAAAGAGAGAACGGCCGUUCCCCUUGUAGAAACAGAGGAGAUUCAAAGGUUUGCUUUGCUGGCAGGUCACAGUUAUGAAGAGAGAACUGCCAAAAGUUCUGUUUGGGCAUUAUUGCUGCUACCAUAAAAUGUCCCAAUCCUAUAAAAACUGUUCAACGGGCAUUAACUAAGAGCUGUGCUUGAAGAAUUGCUUUGUAGCUAGGAAUUGAUUCUCUUUAUACCUAUCAGCAAAUAGAAGUAAGAGUUGUGUGUUUGUGUGAACAGACUGUUAACUUUCUUGCUAAUGGCUGAUUUCUCAUAAAAGCCACUGAUUUGAUUUAAGUAGCAAAGAUGCAUAUUUGGAAGUAAAGGUGUUUAGGGUAACUAAGCAGCAUUUUAAAACAUGCUUGCAGUUAUUAACCACUACUUAACAGACAAUAUUCUCUGCUACCUCUGCAUUGUAAAACCAUAAGGGAUGCUUUUCAGACACAUGCAUCCACAGUGAACUAAUCUAUUACUGUCUUUGCAAAAUAUUGAGUUGAUGUUCCAGUGGUUGGUUAUUCCUCUAGAGUAAGCAACAUAUGGAUUGUGGGUUGAUAAGGAAGAAGCAGUGAUAAAGUCUCGCUCCUUUUCACCUUAUGCUUGCAGAACCUUGUUUGUCACAGUGGUGGCUAGACAGACCCACAAAUCAGUUUAGACAAAUCACUGAUCAUCUGAAAUGAGCUUAAACUGUGAUCCUUGAUCUUUAAAGGCUUUUAAAGAAGCAUUCUCAGAUGUCCUGUUUUGUAGCAUUCAACCAGAAGUUAGUAAUCACAUGAUUAGAAGCUGCUUUGCUGUCAAAAAGUCCUACCCUUCAGAAAAACAAUCCUUCCUGUGUUUUGAAAAAUGCAUACCAGGGGAAAGUGUAAUGUGAUUCCUCCUACCUAUGCUGCUUAGGUUAUCUUCACAGUUUCCUAUAUAUUGGGACACCCAAACUAGGUUGAUUUCCCCCAUUUCUCACUAUAGACUCCAAUCCAGGGGACCUUUUGCAACAAUACUUGAUUCUGCUGAACGUAUAACCCACCAUUGUCAGCCCAUAAAUUUCUUGCAUACCAAACAAGACAGGCUCAACUUCAAGACCUUUGGUGUAUUGUGCUAAUGCCCUGCGUGAUUAUUUGCAUUAAGGGAGAAGGAAGCUAGUCAUGCAGAAAGUGAGAUAAUCCAGCAGUAAUUUGGUUCCCCCAUUUGCUUCUGAGAGUUCCAUUUUGUGAUAGUCGAAGUUGAUAAAAGAUCUCAAGGAGCUACAUGUUGAAAGUGAUGUCUUUUUAAGAACGGGAUGUAUUCUGAGGUAUGAGCUCUGCAUACCACGAUUGUUAAGCUCAUAUGCAAUAUUGUAUGUUUUUAAGCACAAAAUCUGAACGUACCUAACUUGGCCAUUGAAGAGCAGGACAUGUCCUUAAGCAGUCUGGUGAGGCGUACAGCAGUACUUCUGCACACACGUAUCAAAGUUCCGCAGUUGUAACCAUAAGAGGAAAAUUUGCAAUGGAAACAUUCUGCAUAUAUUUCACAGGAGUACACAAUAAGCAGGACUUUACUAGCUUAUUAGGACUGAUUAGCAUGGAGAACCUUUUAAAAAUAAGUAAAUGUUUACUGCUAUUAAAAAGGCCAAGAAGUUGUUCUUCCUGUUGAAUCCAGCAACUGUAUCCUAGAUUCAGAGAUAUUUAGUUAUUAAUGAUUCUGAAUUUUGUAGAGAACAAAACUUAUUUCGCUAUGUAAUAGGUGGUUGUAAAAUGAUAUUUUCUUACAAGUAUUUUUGAAAGAAAGUCCAUCAUAAAAAUAUUUACAUUUUUUGAAAGUUGUAUUAUUUUCACAGAGAAAUAUAUCCUUCAAAUCAAUUUUUUUUUAUUUUUGUCAUUGGUGAUCUAAAGGUAUUUUCUAGGUCAUAAAUAAAGUGUAAAAGAAAUGAUAGAUGUUGAACAUUGUAAAUCUAUGUAUCUGCUUGGUACUACAUUGUAAAUUAACUGAAAAUAUUUUUUUCUUGUCUAGAAUAUUAGAGAUAGUUAAAGAGGAAAGAACUAAAUUACCAUUUUUUUUCCAAAGGCAUGAUCUGCUUUAUUUAUAAAAGCAUACUUGUUCACUGCUGGACAGCUGGUCAAAUUCAAAUCAAAUUAAUUUCUUGAAGUAUAGUUACACAAAUAAUUCAAAUAUUCUGAUUUUUUUUUAAAUAAUGUAGUUCCCGUUAUUAUGCUGAUAUUGUCAGACACUGUUGAAGAACAUUAUAUCAUUAUUUUAUCUUUGUAAAAGCUUUCUGUUUACAUUCUUGGUCCCAAAAUGAUGUGAAUGUCAAAAGAAGAUGUAGUAAUUCCGUCCUCAGCUUGUGAAAUGAAGAGCCGUAAAAGCACUUUUUUUUCCAGUACUCCAUGUGGCUGAUCACUACAGCAUUCUUCCUACCAUCAAACUGUGAUUAGCAUUUCUAUGGGUAAGGCCUUGUUUAAAAAUGAAAGUAGUUCUGCUCAAAUGGUGACACCUCUCCCCCAGGUUGGACGCACAUCAGUAGCUCAACCAGGAUCCCAGGUGUGUGUUAGCUGCUCUUGUUCCUCUUUUUCUCAGCCUUCAAGAUGAGAAGUAACUUGCCAGACAACAUCACUGAAUGCAACAAGAUCUCUGUAACAGUCAUUGGAACUCCCUAUUGGAGGUUUAUGGUUUUUAGCUGGAUGUUCUGCUAAUUGGAUGGGUGGAAUAUUAUAUACAUACACACCAUCUGUUUUCUUUCUGCUGAACUCUGUUUUCAGUGCAAUAGAAAGAUAAUAGCGCAUGACUUCAUAGCAUGGGGCAGGCCUUCCUGAGCUACAUGAUAUUUAUGCUCUCAUGGAAGAAUGGAUAGCUACUACCUACGUACAUAGAGUUGAGCUGGCAGUGUUGAGACAGCAUGGUAGCCAUGCUUUGAUGUGCCCUUUACAAUUCAUCUUUGCCCCCUCUCAUUUGAUCUCUUUGUCCCCAAAUGGGAAGGGUAGAGCUGAUAAUUAUAUUCUUUGGCUGUAAGAACUUCUUAUACUUGGAUAAUUCUCAUGGCUUCCUGCAAAUACUCCCAAAAGAAGAUGAUCUUUUGGCAAAGAUGGUAACUCUAUGUCAGAAAGCUAUUGCUGCUUUCACAGAACCCCAGUAUCCAAGCAUUCAUGUUACUUUUCCUGAAGUGCAGAUAAUUUUUCUGUGCUUUUGACUUGGAGUUCAUUCAAUGUGCAGUCAUGUUACAAUCUGCAUGUGGAAAACUUGAACAUACGUGACUGCAACCAUCUUCCCCAAUUUGAUCCUUUUCAGACUUCAUACUUUAGGCUACAAAUCUCCAUCAAUCUUAGCAUUACCAGGGGUUGGGAUGGUGGGGCAGUAACCCCAAACAUAUGCAGGUUGAGGAAGAAUGGUGUAGGGUCUGCUGGAGCAUUGCUAAGAGCUUGAGUGGUUUAUAUCUCAACUAAGCUAGGUGUAAUGGAUGGGCUACACCCGGAAACAAAAGGUUCAAAUCCAUAAACAUGGAUGUCUUGUGGUUAUGUGAGAAUGGAUAUGAGGUUAAAUGAUGGCGUGCCCCCUAAUAACUUGCAAACUGGGUUUAAGCAAGCCACUUUUCAUUCAGCCUCACCCUGACCUGAAACACAGGAAUUACUAUAGUGGCCUAUCUUGGAAGGUUGUAAAAUGUAUGAUAUAAAUGUACAUUGAGCAUAUUAUGGAUUCUAAGACCUGUUAUGAAAACAAGGAAUUUUGUAUAUAGAAUUCUACUAAUGGAGGCUUUAAUAUGACAAAUGUUAAAUACUAUCAAUCAAAUUUUUAUUAUGGUCAUAGACCAACAUAAUUACUAUGUUUAUUGUACCCCAAUUUUACAUGGGGCUUCCUAGGUUUGUCUGCCCCAUUGCUCUUGAGGGGUUGAUCAGGGCUGCAGCAUUAACCUAUUUCAAAUUCUCUAAACCUAGAUUAAGAGUACAGAAAUAGCCUCUUCAGAUAUGGCUGAUCUACAGUUCUUUGAAAUCCUAGCCAGCAGAGCUAAUAUUGAAAGUUCUUCAGCAACAGUUGAAAAGCCAUAUAAUCACUAUCCAUAUCUAGGAGUUGCUCAAAUAAGCUGUGUGUUUUUUCUUUUAAAAUAGCAAUUACUUUUGUAUUUCUUUUAAUUUAAAAAAAAUGACUAAUUUCUGAUAAUCUCAAAAAGCCAUGUAGCCAAGGUUCACAGAAACUGAAGUCUAACAAAACUGGGGCACAUUGGUUGGGAAAGAUUGCAAUAAAUGGCUUUGUUUGGGCUUUUGACUUUAAAUUAUUGAGCUGACAUUGACCCUUCUCUUAUUUUCACUUGGCUUUGAGUAGCACUUAAAAGGAUGACUCAUAAACGGUUUGAAAAUUUACAUUUUCAUAUAGGCCAAAGGUAAACUCAACUUUUCAGAAUAGUUUUAAAAGGGUCAUGUUUUAGCAGUCAAGUCCCUUUCUUAAAAAAAAUAGCUGGUUUAAAGGAAUGAGUGAGUAAAGCCAUUGGUGAAGAGAAAGUCUAUAUAUGCUACUUUUAAGCAUCCUCAUUUCAAACUGGUCAUGCUUUCCAUUCACUCCAAGAUUGUGUACUUUAUCGAGUUGGAUUUUUUUGAGCAGAUGGGCAACUAGGAAAGUAGGUAUACUAGUUCACAAGAUCACCAGAUGAGUGUUCUUAUAUAUGAGGAAUAUCUUCAUGGAGAAAGCAAGCACGGGGGUGGGGGGAGGGGAGGCAAGAUGAGUUUAGAACUUUUCAAUAUUAAAUUUAUUUUUCCAUGCUUUUUGUACUUAAUCAUAAAAUCUUCCUCUUAUACUCUACUUACAUGGUAAGGCUGGGUCCAGACAUCACACUAGGCCAAAAUAUGGCUUUGUUUGACAUCUAGUGUAUUGUCUAAACCCAGCCAUUGUGGUUGAUAAACCACAUUCUAUGAUGCAGCCAUACUGACUAUGACUAAGUCAACAAACCAGGGUUUAUCUUGAUGUGUAAUCCAGCCUAAUUCUUUGCAGAAUAAAUUUACCCCUUGAUCUCUUGGUAUAGAUUAUGCCCAAAAUAGCGUAUGUAUUCUGAAUAAACAUUUCAAUAUAUUAAUUACUUGAAUCCAGAAGGAUUUACACUGGUAACCUGAUCUCAAACAGGUGAACUAUUAUUUUGGCAUAUUGCUCUGUUUCAUUGUGAUGUUUUUGUGUUUUUUCCAUGUGAACUAUGUGAACAAAGAAAAAAAGCACAUGUGAGGAGAGCGUUGCUGUUGAAAUAGCUGCUAAUUCUGCCCUGUGUCAGCUGUGGGAGCAAACUGGAUCUUCUUUGCAGAGAGUUAUAAAUACACAUUUACCCACGUCAUUCAGAUGGUCGCUCAACCCAGAAGCAACAUUGCCAGGGAAGGGAAGCUGGCCAUACUGAAGAGGAAAGGCAGAUCAUGAAUCAUAUCUCUGAUGGACUCCAUUGUACUAUGAGAGGCUGCAGAGACAGAUAAGUCAGAAGCUGGUAUGUGGUUAUGUAUCAAAAGCAUGCUACUGGAGGAAGAUAAUGCUGACCAGGCAACCUUAUCUCCCUCUGCUAUUCCUGGGAGAAUGAAGAAGAUCAAAGCUGCUUAUAAGUCUGGCUUUCUUGGUUUCAGGUAAACAAGUGACUAAGUCUUUGUUUGCAACUGCAAUCACCUACUUCUCUUGAACUUUGUAGAUAACAGAGUUUGCAUAACUUAAGCCCAAAGAACUUGAGACACUUCCGACAUAACUGAGAUAUCAGAUCACAUCCUACUGGCCCAUGUAAUUUGCCCUGGAAGAAAAGCUAUACUGCAGGUACUGGACUAGGUGAGGAUAGCAGGAAGAGGACAAGGAUAAUGCUUUUUAAGAGCUUCUGCAAAAGUCCCAAUCUGUAUUACUCUCUGCUUUUUCAUCUUUAAAGAGUCAUUCAUGAAAUUGCCUUUUAUCUGAAUGGCAUCUCUUCUGUUUAGAAUUACUGCUGAAAUGAAUUCAAACCAUUCUAAAUAAAGCUCUUAGAUCAAUAGCAGCCAAAGAAUUUCAGCCUUUUUGUUAAGAUAAGCAAAAAGUUAGUUGCACACCUCUUUAAGGCUGGCACCAAAUUCCAUCAAAAACAGAAUCUGUUUCUUAGGAGUUUCAUAGACAAGAGCUAGGUCAGGUUAGACCUAGGACCAUCUAGCUCAAUAAUGCCUACAUGAAUUCUGCUUAGGAAUGAUGAAUUUUGUGGCCCAACCUGUAUAGAGCACAUCACAUUUGCAAAGAUUGAACUCUGCAUAUUAAUACUAGCUCUCUGGGUCUUCAGAGAAAGUUCUUUCUCAGCCAUACUUGGAAAAACCAGGACUACAUCAGGAGUCCAGCCUGGAUAUUAUAUAUGUAUGGACAAUGGAAAAAAAAACAAACUUCUCCAGAUAGGACCAUAGCUGGCACAGCAGUCUAGAUAUCAGUAAAAGGUGUUCUGUGUUCUUGCUGACAUCUGAGUUUCUCCAAGUAGUGCUAACCAAAAAAAAUGAGGAAGCCUCACAUGUUUCAGAAAAUUCCUUUAUCAAGAACACUUUGCAUUCUUAGUCAAGGAAUUUUCUGAAACAUGUAACUAUCCUAUAUAAUAAAAGAUUUCCUACUGGUACUUGAGAUAUGUUAUGCUUGAGCCCAGACAAUCUAUCCAACUAGGUCCUUCAGUAAACCUCUACUCUGAAUACAGGUUUGUUAUCACAGCAUCUCCACCUUUUCAGAUUAGAUUUGAAAAUGACAGAGUUGCAUAUCAUCCACUUAUAGACAUAGAGAAAAUGCUUCAGAGAAAGAAACAAUGAUUUUAAAAGAAUGCUAUGAAAUGUUGAGUUUUCCAAAUGCUUGGAUAGAUGACACUUUUUUUACUGAUAACUUCAUGAGUCUUUACUUUUAAAAGUUUUGAAAUUAGUUAAUAUUUAAACAAAUUCCUU
Non-coding RNA from Python bivittatus (Burmese python), 9226 nucleotides. Lineage: Eukaryota; Metazoa; Chordata; Lepidosauria; Squamata; Pythonidae. The record is from RefSeq and is a predicted model, not a curated record.